This 1358-nucleotide long non-coding RNA is filed under the name Capsicum annuum. RNAcentral's name for it is "long non-coding RNA (CANN_LNC016404)". Lineage: Eukaryota; Viridiplantae; Streptophyta; Magnoliopsida; Solanales; Solanaceae. The record is from RNAcentral.
ACCAUAAUAACCAUGAUUGUGCAUUGUCACACCAUAAUCUUUAUUGGAGUUAUUCCGAUUGUACAUUCUUGCAACCAUAGUAGUAUUUGGGUUAUUGCAGACAUUGUAGCGUUCAACUUUAUUCAUCACCUUUGCCUUUUUCUCCUCUGGCUCUGUGCUUUUACUUGCCAUCUUUGAUUCACCACCUUUUUUUUUCUGUGACCGCUGCCAUCACUAUCACCACCACGAUCAACAACUUCUUUCUCUUCCUUUUUAUCGUUGCGAACACCUGAUCCAUCAUAAUUCUUUGGUGAAACAGCUUCAACUUUCCUUUUGAAUUUCUUAUUCAAGUAAGGUAUGAGUUUCUUUAUAAUACAUCGCUUUACUUUUGUUGCAGAACUGUCACACUGAAUCCAACUACCUUUGUGUUAACUUGAGCUGAACAACCAACUGUUGGGUUCGAAAUCGAGAGGGAGUCGUGCGGAAGCUAUUAGUUGCAAAUUAUCGUGGUGAUAAUUCAGACGACAAAGAAAAUAAUACUAAAAACAUCAUUAUUGUAUAGUUUGGCCAAUUGGCCUACAUAUGAAAACCUAAUAUAAAAGAAAACAUAAAACUAUUAGACAGAAAAUCUUCCCUUAAACAAAACUGCUAUUGUGUUAUGGUAUGAGAAGAAGGGGUCUUCUAUUUAUACAUGUCCAAAACCUUUCUUACAAAAAAGAGGUUAGCCAAAUAUGAAAAAGAAUUAUUUUUUCUUUCAGAAAAAGUAAAAAUAAUUAUGGUAACUUUUAUUUCCCUUCUAAGAAAAAAUAAAACUUAAAUAUAGUAAGAAAAUCAGGGUAAAAACCCUAACAAAUCUCCCCUUGUUGGCUUUAUUUUCUUCACUUGAUCCAUCUUCUCUUCAUAUCACGUGCAUGAACUUCGUUCUUGAUAUAAUCUUCAUAUAUGCUGCUUGCCAUGGUUAAAAAUAAGGUUUAAAAUAUCAUGGCUAAAAAUUGGUUUAAAAGUAAUAUUUUAUUUUUAUUUUUAAAGAUGCAACAGCAGGAGUGUUGAAAAUAUGGUAAAAACUUGUUCUCCACAUGUAGUUCGACAAAAAUCUUCAUUAUCAUCCAAAUUGUUGCAACUUGAUUUUAAUUGGAUCAUUGAACCGUAAGCUCUGAUACCACUUAUUGGGUUCGAAAUCGAGAGGGCGUCAUGCGGAAGCUAUUAGUUGCAAACUAUCGCGGUGAUAAUUCAGACGACAAAGAAAAAAAUACUAAAAACAUGAUUAUUAUAUAUUUUGGCCAAUUGACCUACAUAUAAAAACCUAAUAUAAAAGAAAACAUAAAACUAUUAGAGAGAAAAGCCUAAACAAAACUUUUUAAACUACUACAUUGUGGAUG